RNAcentral lists this ribosomal RNA (273 nucleotides) under uncultured bacterium. RNAcentral's name for it is "partial 16S ribosomal RNA". It matches the Rfam family "Bacterial small subunit ribosomal RNA", at positions 793 to 1055 of the family's 1533-position model. The record is from RNAcentral.
GUCCACGCCGUAAAUGAUGUCUACUAGCUAUCGGAAGUAUCGACCCUUUCGGUGGCGAAGCUAACGCGUUAAGUAGACCGCCUGGGAAGUACGAGCGCAAGCUUAAAACUCAAAGGAAUAGACGGGGACUCGCACAAGCGGUGGAUCAUGUGGUUUAAUUCGAUGGUACACGAGGAACCUUACCAGGGCUUGAAAUUCUAUUGAUUGCAAUUGGAAACGAUUGAGUCCUAAGAUUUAUCUUUGGCAAUAGGACAGGUGCUGCACGGUCGUCGU